RNAcentral lists this transfer RNA (72 nucleotides) under Vibrio phage phi-pp2. Its description in RNAcentral is "Vibriophage phi-pp2 tRNA-Met". It matches the Rfam family "tRNA". Rfam says of the family: Transfer RNA (tRNA) molecules are approximately 80 nucleotides in length. The record is from RNAcentral. Lineage: Duplodnaviria; Heunggongvirae; Uroviricota; Caudoviricetes; Pantevenvirales; Straboviridae.
GCGGAGUAGAGCAGUGGUUAGCUCAUCGGUCUCAUAAGCCGAAGGUCGUUGGUUCGAAUCCAACCUCACGCA